GAUCCUGGCUCAGGAUGAACGCUAGCUACAGGCUUAACACAUGCAAGUCGAGGGGAAACGACAUCGAAAGCUUGCUUCCGAUGGGCGUCGACCGGCGCACGGGUGAGUAACGCGUAUCCAACCUGCCCACCACUUGGGGGAUAACCUUGCGAAAGUAAGACUAAUACCCAAUGAUAUCUCUAGAAGACAUCUGAAAGAGAUUAAAGAUUUAUCGGUGAUGGAUGGGGAUGCGUCUGAUUAG
Molecule: ribosomal RNA, 241 nt
Filed under: uncultured bacterium
Lineage: Bacteria
Description: partial 16S ribosomal RNA
Rfam family: Bacterial small subunit ribosomal RNA
Source: RNAcentral